UUAAAUCCGUGUACAUUCCGAAUUCUUCUUUAAAUUAUAACCAUUUACUAAUAAAUAUAUCAACAAUCUUAAAGCUUUAGUAAUACCAACCAUGGGGUCCUCACAAUUAAGUGUUUUCAUUGUCCUGAUUUUAGUAACUGUUGCAGCGGCAAGAAACUGUAUUUACUAUAAGACCAGUAAAAGAUAUGCUAAUGGUUCAACAUUUCAACUACCCGAUGGCGGUAGAUGCAUAACUUAUAAAUGUUUUAAUGGAGCAAUUAGACCAGAUAAUGUGGAAUGCUACAAUAUACCUGAUGAAAAAUGUUAUCCUAUCGGCACAAUUAUAACCAACAAAUGUAUAACCAAUAAAUGUGUUUACCGAAUUGAAGCAGGUUUCAAAAGAAUAAAAACACAAUGUUCUGAUAAAGAUGGUAACUGUCACGAUCCGGGUGAGAUAUUUCCACUUGAGAUUAAAAAUACUACGUACGAUUCGUGUCAAUGUAAAAUCUUAGAAGAAAGAAAUCAGAUAUCUUACAGAUGUACUUCAAUUAAAGCAAAUUAAA
This is a long non-coding RNA of Patella vulgata (common limpet), 542 nucleotides long. RefSeq lists it as uncharacterized. The record is from RefSeq and is a predicted model, not a curated record. NCBI's taxonomy places the organism in Eukaryota, Metazoa, Mollusca, Gastropoda, Patellidae. The transcript has 4 exons.